This is a long non-coding RNA of Herpailurus yagouaroundi (jaguarundi), 2309 nucleotides long. RefSeq lists it as uncharacterized. The transcript has 2 exons. The record is from RefSeq and is a predicted model, not a curated record. NCBI's taxonomy places the organism in Eukaryota, Metazoa, Chordata, Mammalia, Carnivora, Felidae.
UGUUCUCUCUCUCUGUCUCAAAAUAAAUAAAUAAACAUUAAAAAAAUUUAAAAAAAUGAUCCAUUCAAGACUAGGCUCAUAUACCUGCACUUUGCUUUUUUUGAGGAAAUGGACAUUGCAAGUUGUAACUGAACAUGCUUCCUGUCUUGCCUUGUUAGCCAAGAAACUUGUUUCAAAAUUUUUGGCCUGUUCUCUAGCAACUAUUUAAGACUAUGUGGUUACUUACUUGACACUCAUCUCUAACCUUGGGUUUCCUUUCAUAAUUUUUUUCAGCGUAACUCCCUUCAGUAUUGACCUGUUACAGACUCUGAAUUUUUUCUAAGCUACGUUACGUCAUUUGUGAAAUGAAGACACCAUGAGAAAACGAGCUGCAAUGUCCCAUCUGGGAGCUACUGUCAGAACCACAUGACCAUGUGCAGGUGGAACUCAGUGACAAAGUGGGGAGAGACGUUGGGGCUGAAAAGUCUGAAAAAGAAGGGGAAUCAACACCUGUUGUGAAUGGAAAGUGAACACAGAAUACAGAUUUUUCAAGUAAGCUUAUUGACUCUAAGAGUUUUUAGACCUAAGCAGUCUGGCCAGAAAACUGCUUAAAACAUGGCUUUUCCUAGGCCUGCAAAUAUAACAGAAAAGGGUUUCUUUCCGGAUUCCCUAACUCCUGCUAUUGUGAUUCUGUUGUUUCUUGUCUUUUUCUUGGUGCACAGUAUGCUUGAGCCAAAAAGCGUGCCAAGGCAUCUCCCUUCUGUGCUUUGUCGUAACUUAUUCCUAAAGUUAUGUUCUCUGGUUUUGAGAUGCUUGGGAUAUGAUUAAAUAUAGCAUCCUCAUAAACAAAGGUAAGUUUUAUCCUUUUGAUUUCUAGAAUGUUGAUUUGAGAUGGCUCAUUCUACUCAAGCAUCUUGUUAGUUUCCUGUUUCCUUUCUUUUCCAUGCCAAUUCACACACUGGAACUGAUCAAUCUGCCAGCUAAGUUAAUGGAUACAAAAUGGUAUUCUCUUCAGUUCUCAAGCAUCUGUGAUGUCUCCUCUCUGUGUGACAUUCUGAAGGUUGGCUUCAUUGCUGUGGCCUGUGAUUUUAAAUCCACUGUAAUUACAAUGGCCUCACCACAUUCUCCCCUCCAGGUGUCCUGGAUAUUCCUAGGAACAGCUUGCAUCUCUGCUCCUACUUUGUGUUUCUUGGAAACAUUUAAAGCCAGUUCUGAGCCUGUACCUUCCUUCAGUCUUCUCCCACAGGACUUGGCAUGGGAUGAAGACGACUGGGGAAGAAGGGAGACACAGCUUCCUAAGUAGAUCCUGAGAGUUAGAUUCUGGGGCUGAGGGGUUGUCUCGGGAGCAGGGUCAUCCCUUUCUGAUGCCUGUUGCCCAACAUCCUCACGGCACAAUGACUUGUUCUGAAGAAAAAGACUGUAUUGCCCUGAAGGUUCUAGAAUCUCUUUUGAACACAGGCAGCCAGUCCCAAUUGGCCCUUUGAGGAUAUAAACAUGCCUUCAGAACACUUCUCUUCUUAAAGCUCAAGAUUUCUUCAUGAAAUAUUAACCCAAGGUAUUCUGCAGGUUCAGAGUGGAUUAGUUCUGCCUGCAACCCUUUUAGCUUGGCUUGGAACCACCGAGAGUGCCCUUAAUGACAACAGAUUACUCCUGCUUUCAAACACAUUGGGGCAAUUAAAAACUGCUUGCAACUCAGAGGCAACAUCACCCAAUGCAAAGGGAGUUUGCAUAAUCCGCUUGAGAGAUUUUAAAAUAAAGUGUUAUCAUUACUUUUUCAGUGAUGUGUCAGAUGUAUCUUAUUUAGAUUAAGGGGGACCUUCUUCCUUGCUCAGCAAGCCCAAGAGCUUGCACAUCCAGCAGAUCCACAAACUGCAUCAUGAAGAGAUCAAUCUGUGAUAUUCCGAUUUUAUUUUUGCAGUAAAGUCUCCAACAUCAGGAGUUAGACUACUCACACUGCUCUAUUACAUUUUAGAAUGUUCUGCUUACAUAUUUUUUUUCUCAUGCCUUUCUCUGCCCCUUGAAAUGCUACUUAUUCUUAAAGAUGGAGCUCAAAUGGCCUCUCAGCUAUUCCUCUCCUAACAACAACAAAAACCGUUAACAGCAAUCUUUCCUAAAGCCUGAAGGAUAAGACUUGGGCAUGCUUAUGAAAUUUAUUAGAAGAUUCUCUAAAGAGUUACCUGUGUUCAGAUUUGAUCUUUUCAUUUUAAGUUUCUUCAAGGCAAACAUUAUAUUGACACAUCAAUUUAUGUAUUUCCAACAAUGGGAAUAUAGAACUGAAAAAAACUUUUGUCAUUCUCAUGAAAUAAAUAGAAACUGAUUUAUGAUACUUA